UGCAAUCUACCUUUCACAGAGGGAUAGCCCAGAGAAAUUUGGAUUAAUACCUCAUAGUAUUAUAGGAUGGCAUCAUUUUAUAAUUAAAGUCACAACGGUGAAAGAUGAGCAUGCGUCCCAUUAGCUAGUUGGUAAGGUAACGGCUUACCAAGGCAACGAUGGGUAGGGGUCCUGAGAGGGAGAUCC
Molecule: ribosomal RNA, 186 nt
Filed under: uncultured Bacteroidota bacterium
Lineage: Bacteria; Pseudomonadati; Bacteroidota
Description: uncultured Bacteroidetes bacterium partial 16S ribosomal RNA
Rfam family: Bacterial small subunit ribosomal RNA
Source: RNAcentral